GGGGAAGUGAUGGAAUGGCAGACAUCGGAGACUUAAAAUCUCUUGCUCGUAGAGCGUGAGGGUUCGAAUCCCUUCUUCCCUA
Molecule: transfer RNA, 82 nt
Filed under: Caudoviricetes sp.
Lineage: Duplodnaviria; Heunggongvirae; Uroviricota; Caudoviricetes
Description: tRNA-Leu
Rfam family: tRNA
About the family: Transfer RNA (tRNA) molecules are approximately 80 nucleotides in length. Their secondary structure includes four short double-helical elements and three loops (D, anti-codon, and T loops).
Source: RNAcentral